GAUGAACGCUGGCGGCGUGCUUAACACAUGCAAGUCGAACGAAGCACUUUAAUGGAUUUCUUUCGGGAAUGAAGGAGAAGUGACUUAGUGGCGGACGGGUGAGUAACGCGUGGGUAACCUGCCUUAUACAGGGGGAUAACAGUUGGAAACGACUGCUAACACCGCAUAAGCGCACAGUGUCGCAUGACACAGUGUGAAAAUAUUCAUAGGUAUAAGAUGGACCCGCGUCUGAUUAGCUAGUUGGUGAGGUAAUGGCUCACCAAGGCGACGAUCAGUAGCCGGCUUGAGAGAGUGAACGGCCACAUUGGGACUGAGACACGGCCCAAACUCCUACGGGUGGCUG
RNAcentral lists this ribosomal RNA (343 nucleotides) under uncultured Bacillota bacterium. RNAcentral's name for it is "bacterial SSU rRNA". It matches the Rfam family "Bacterial small subunit ribosomal RNA", at positions 28 to 351 of the family's 1533-position model. The record is from RNAcentral. Lineage: Bacteria; Bacillati; Bacillota.